AUUUAUAUUAAAAUAAUAUAAAUGUAGGACCCACACAUAUCCUUGGGUUAAUUUAACACGAGACUUGCAAAAUGCCUCUGAUCUUUCAUCUCCUUGGACCAUUUCUCCUUCAACUGUUGCUCAGGUUUUUCAUCCCUCUCUCAUUCAUCGUUCAAAAUUCUUAGAUAAUAAAUUCAGCCAUGGAAAUAGCACAAAAGCAUAAAAAUAGGCAAAACAAUAUGUUGAGAAACCAGGAAAAAUAUAAUCAUCCUUCAUUGAGUUAACCCAACAAGUCAGAGCCGACUCAGAGCGUCCGACCAUCGUUUUCGAGAAAUUUAGAGCGGAGCACAACUGAAAUAAACUGACCUCAGGCGAAAAACAAUAAUAUGAUGUUUGAUUAAACUUCUGAUUGCUCAGCUGCACAAAUCCAAGCUUUAAACUUUUGCAACUCGCCACCGUCUUCGAUGCGAUUCGACGUCCUUUGAUGAGCGACAACAGUUGAAACUAAAGGGGAACAAACCCAGUGCAGUCUACAUUCGUUUGGAUAUCGUCAUUUUGAUUAUAUUAAACAUAAUAGAUCAUGUUGCCAUGUGCAUGAUCUCAUCUCUCCAUUGUAUCAUUUUCAAAUUUUCAUAAGCAGCCAUCUUAUGGCAGAAAAAAAAUAUAUUUAUCAUGAAAAGCCAAAUGAAAAUAAAAAGGAAAAGUGUUGUUUUUCUUUCAAAAUUUCCUCUUUGAAUUAAAAUAAAAUAGAAAAAAUUACAAUAAUGCGUGUAUGAGAUUUUGAUACUUUGAAACUGUUGCUAUUUGAUAAGAGACUCAAAAC
Molecule: long non-coding RNA, 802 nt
Filed under: Jatropha curcas
Lineage: Eukaryota; Viridiplantae; Streptophyta; Magnoliopsida; Malpighiales; Euphorbiaceae
Description: long non-coding RNA (JCUR_LNC002396)
Source: RNAcentral